RNAcentral lists this ribosomal RNA (447 nucleotides) under uncultured bacterium. Its description in RNAcentral is "bacterial SSU rRNA". It matches the Rfam family "Bacterial small subunit ribosomal RNA", at positions 355 to 825 of the family's 1533-position model. The record is from RNAcentral.
UCGGGAAUUUUGGGCAAUGGGGGAAACCCUGACCCAGCAACGCCGCGUGAAGGAUGAAGUAUUUCGGUAUGUAAACUUCGAAAGAAUAGGAAGAAUAAAUGACGGUACUAUUUAUAAGGUCCGGCUAACUACGUGCCAGCAGCCGCGGUAAUACGUAGGGACCAAGCGUUGUUCGGAUUUACUGGGCGUAAAGGGCGCGUAGGCGGCAUGACAAGUCACUUGUGAAAUCUCUGGGCUUAACCCAGAACGGCCAAGUGAUACUGUCGUGCUAGAGUGCAGAAGGGGCAAUCGGAAUUCUUGGUGUAGCGGUGAAAUGCGUAGAUAUCAAGAGGAACACCUGAGGUGAAGACGGGUUGCUGGGCUGACACUGACGCUGAGGCGCGAAAGCCAGGGGAGCAAACGGGAUUAGAUACCCGCGUAGUCCCUGAGCGGGCUGGCAAGGCGCAU